UGCUGUGAUGGUGUAAUUUGCGUCCUACUCUGCGUGUAGCGACAGUUGCCUGCUGUCACAUGCUUGCGCUGAAGGGUGACGAAAAUCAAAUCUGAGCU
Molecule: small nucleolar RNA, 98 nt
Organism: Ictalurus punctatus (channel catfish)
Lineage: Eukaryota; Metazoa; Chordata; Actinopteri; Siluriformes; Ictaluridae
Gene: SNORD16
Rfam family: Small nucleolar RNA SNORD16
About the family: U16 is a member of the C/D class of snoRNA which contain the C (UGAUGA) and D (CUGA) box motifs. U81 acts as a guanine methylation guide and is found in an intron of ribosomal proteins L1 gene in animals.
Source: Ensembl